AAACAGAUCGCGCGGAGUGAACCUGGUAUGGCGGCGCGUGGAUUUCCCUCUGUCUAUUAUUAAGAUUAAACUUGGGCUUCGCAGUCCUCUCACCUCCAUACCCCGGAUUUGGAGGUCUGUAACAAUGGCUUGAGGAGGCGGAUGAAGAACUUCCCAUUGACCCACAGGAAACCCCGGUUGUAAAGAGAAACUGGGGUCUGAGAAAGAGGCCUAUAAAUGACCAUCCGGAGGAACCAGACAGCUCGCUUGAGGAGCCACAGAAUGAGGCAUUCUUGAAGAGUAGUCGGGCGGAGAAGGACCCGAUAGUAAACGAGGGAUGCCUGUAAGCGAGCAUCCUGCCAGUGCCGGUCCCUGCAGUGAGAAAGGAGGCAACUGAAAGGACGAAGCUGGGUCUCAUCUCUAGGGAAAAAAUAAGUAUAAACUUCCUCACAGGCCCGGGCAGGCCUCCGGCGAUUGGCAGUGAAGCAAACGCAGCAGGUCCCAGACAAGCAGGACAGACAAGGCACUUGUACACGAAGGAGGAAUUCAAGGAAGCCCGGCGACGAGGACAGGGACAGCAAAGAGUAAGCAGAGUGACCUGGGGGAUUAUUCACCGGUGGCGGCAUAUUGUGUCCAGGAGAAUGAACUGCCAUGAACAGCAAGUAGAAGAGCCGACUCAACAUGGAAUAGUAGUUUUAGUUGAAGAUAUGAAGCUCCCCAGUCACUGCACAGCCAGGGUGGAUUUUCUGCCACCUUCACAAGCCUCCUGCAGGGAGGGUCACCGUGUCUCAGAUCUACUCACUGUGGAGUUUAAAUCCUCCCUCCUCUGCUUGUCACCCCUCAGGGUGAGCUGAGAAGUCAGCCAGAGGGAGCAGAGUGACAGUGGCUGAAGGGAAAUGGUACUGGGCAGUUGAUAGUGAACAGAGCCCGAGAGGAAAAGCCCCUCCCCUUAAGGCUGCAAGAUCUGCAUUAGGGCAGGAGGUUCUUCAGUGCAGAAAGAAGCAGAGGUCGUCAACCAGAGGAUCUGGCACCAGCUUUUUGGCACUUACCCAGAAGAACAGUUCACAGGCCACCAGGGGAAAACACCAGAUGUUACCAGGAGGGGCGUGGAAGUCCUCUGGUUCUUGGUCUCCUUGAAUUCAGUCAAGAGACACGCAGAAAGAGUUAAGCAGGUAAGUGCCCUUUAUCUAAAGGCGUAGGAGCUCGGAAAGAAGAGAUACCCUGAACAGUGGAGCAGGGUGGGCUCCUCAAAAGAAUGAGCCUGUCCCUACUAGUGUUGGGCAGAGCCUUUUUGUGAGAAUCUGACAUGAUUAUUCAUGAAGGGGCUGUGCAGGGAUGUUCCUAGUAAGCACGUUCCAGGAAGUCCUCUGAUCAGGAAAGCCCUGUGACGGUCCGUGCUGGUACACACGUCACAUAUCUCAUUAGCAUCUCAAAUCUCCAGCCAGGGAUGUGUGUUUCAGUAUCAUUUUGAGCAGAAGGCUCUUCUAGGGUGGGUUAUUGCAGAAGUACACAUGGUUGUUAAUGGGGAAAAUCCCCCAUCUCGAUUAUGUCCAGCUAGCCCCUGAUAAGUCCCCUUCUGGGCCAGAGGAGUGCAGCCACAAGGCCAGGUGGAGGCAAUGUAGCCACUGAUCUUUUCUUGCUGUCAGUGGGCAGCAUCUUUAAGGAGACUCUCAGUGAGUUGCAUUUCUUUUUUCUUUUUUCUUUUCUUUUUUUUUUUUUUUUGAGACAGAGUCUCGCUCUGUCACCCAGGCUGGAGUGCAGUGGCCCGAUCUCGGCUCAUUGCAAGCUCCGCCUCCCGGGUUCACGCCAUUCUCCUGCCUCAGCCUCCUGAGUAGCUGGGACUACAUGCGCCCACCACCAGGCCAGCUAAGUUUUUGUAUUUUUAGUAGAGAUGGAGUUUCACUGUGUUAGCCAGGAUGGUCUUGAUCUCCUGACCUCGUGAUCCACCUGUCUCGGCCUCCCAAAGUGCUGGGAUUACAGGCAUGAGCCACUGUGCCUGGCCAGUGAGUUGCAUUUCUAAAUAUUCCUUUCCAAAGUGUCAGAGACAUUUGAACCAGAGCAAUUCCAUCUGGAAUAGGGGCUGGAGAAAAUAAGCCUGAGACCUGCUGGGUUACAUUCCCAGUAAGUGAAGGCAUUCUUAGUCAUAGGAUGAAACAGGAGGCUGCUCUGACUAUGGAGUAGCCAUACUUUAUUCCUUUACUCUCUUAAUAAACUUGCUUUCACUUUA
Molecule: long non-coding RNA, 2206 nt
Organism: Homo sapiens (human)
Lineage: Eukaryota; Metazoa; Chordata; Mammalia; Primates; Hominidae
Exons: 2
Source: RefSeq, a predicted model, not a curated record